AACAUUUUCCCUUUGAUUUGUUGCCAUUGGUUUUCUUGGUUCGGUUUCAAGUAAGGGCAAAACAAACUUACACUCCCAUGUAAUAAGAGAAUCUUGCAUCCAUCUUGGUUUUGAAGGAUCAGGUUUCUCCAAAUGGUUUGAAAACACUGAAGUAUAGUAGUUGAGCCCAACGAAAUCGGUAGAAGCUUUCAGUUUUGCUUUCUGCUCAGUUGUAAAUUUAGGCAAUCUAUGUCCAACAAUGUCUUUCAUGAUCUGUGGAUAAUCUCCAAAUGUAGUUGUGUCUAGAUGCCUACAAAAACCAUCAAAAUAUCGUCAUAUAAAAUUUCAAGAUAUUUAGUAUAGUACUAAUU
Molecule: small RNA, 350 nt
Filed under: Arabidopsis thaliana (thale cress)
Lineage: Eukaryota; Viridiplantae; Streptophyta; Magnoliopsida; Brassicales; Brassicaceae
Description: ATSL134750
Source: RNAcentral